CCUACGGGAGGCAGCAGUGGGGAAUAUUGGACAAUGGGGGAAACCCUGAUCCAGCCAUGCCGCGUGUGUGAAGAAGGCCUUUUGGUUGUAAAGCACUUUAAGCAGUGAAGAAGACUCUUCGGUUAAUACCCAUAGACGAUGACAUUAGCUGCAGAAUAAGCACCGGCUAACUCUGUGCCAGCAGCCGCGGUAAU
This 194-nucleotide ribosomal RNA is filed under the name uncultured bacterium. RNAcentral's name for it is "partial 16S ribosomal RNA". It matches the Rfam family "Bacterial small subunit ribosomal RNA", at positions 338 to 524 of the family's 1533-position model. The record is from RNAcentral.